CGCGUAGGCGGCGCGGUAAGUCACUUGUGAAAUCUCUGAGCUUAACUCAGAACGGCCAAGUGAUACUGCAGUGCUAGAGUGCAGAAGGGGCAAUCGGAAUUCUUGGUGUAGCGGUGAAAUGCGUAGAUAUCAAGAGGAACACCUGAGGUGAAGACGGGUUGCUAGGCUGACACUGACGCUGAGGCGCGAAAGCCAGGGGAGCAAACG
This 207-nucleotide ribosomal RNA is filed under the name uncultured bacterium. RNAcentral describes it as "partial 16S ribosomal RNA". It matches the Rfam family "Bacterial small subunit ribosomal RNA", at positions 568 to 774 of the family's 1533-position model. The record is from RNAcentral.